CCUAUCAGCUAACUUUUGCCUCUCAGGAUUCAGAUUCAUCUUCUACAGGUUUUUCAACAAGGAAGUGCAUGACCUUUCUAGCCUCUUCAGUCUUCUUCUCAACCUGUGAACAAGCCAGUAAAAACACAGGAAUUAAGUAUGAAUGGAGGAUGAAGAGUUUGGCAGAGAAGAAUGUGAAGCGGUGCAAAGCAGGGCUUCUGACAACUGACUUAGCAGUUCUCUUCACUUGCUUGCUAAGGACACGAGUACCUCAGCGUCCAAAUCCAGAAAGAGAAGCAGGAAGCGAUGGCGGCCUGCGAAGGACACACCGCUGGACGCCGAGUCCCGGGUUCUUGGGUUCUCAGCCUUCCCGCUGCACAGCAGGGACCUCAGAAUCGGCCCCCUGUGAAUUCUCUCACCCAUAUUCUCAUCCUUCCCACUGUUUUCCCUGCUUCUCCCACUCACCCUAUUCUGGGAAAACUCCAGGUGGGUACUGACCAAUUUUUUAAAUUUUUAUUUAAUUUAAUGAUUGA
Molecule: long non-coding RNA, 512 nt
Organism: Phacochoerus africanus (Common warthog)
Lineage: Eukaryota; Metazoa; Chordata; Mammalia; Artiodactyla; Suidae
Exons: 3
Source: RefSeq, a predicted model, not a curated record